Long non-coding RNA from Spinacia oleracea (spinach), 1386 nucleotides. RefSeq lists it as uncharacterized. The record is from RefSeq and is a predicted model, not a curated record. The transcript is spliced from 2 exons. NCBI's taxonomy places the organism in Eukaryota, Viridiplantae, Streptophyta, Magnoliopsida, Caryophyllales, Amaranthaceae.
CAUUAUUUUAAUUAGGAUAAAAUAUAUAAGCUCUAUUUUAAUGAUAAUUGUCUCCUAAAUUUCAUACAAAUUUAUAUUAAGAUUAUAAACCGUGCAUCGCACGGGUAGUAUAUUAGUUCAACUCCUAAACCAAACCCAGAACCCUAAACACAGAGAAUCGGUAAAACUUGUGAGACCAAUCUCCUACAAUUUCUUAUUAGGAUGAAAACUGAUCGGAAACCACCGCUUGCUAGAUCUCCGAUGACUCUUCGAGGCCGUCGCCCCCUUCAACCACCUAACUCCAAUUUCAACGCCAGCACCCCUCUUCGAACACCAGAUUUUUUUUCCCCAAAGAGCUUGUCAUUUUGGGUUUUGAUGUGGGUUUUUUCGUUGUUGAUAUAAUUGCUGAAAUUCCUUUCUUUUGCACAAACAAAAUUGGUAUGUUGUGGGUUUAAGGAAACAGAAUAAAUCAGUUAAUUCAAUAGUAAGCCCUUACUGGGUCUGUUGAUUUUGGUUGUUUUAUUUCCUUGAUUUUAAUUUGGUUUUCUGGGUGAUCGAAGAAUGAAUAAACGCUUAAUAAAUGGGUUUAAUUCUGUUUUUCACUGUUAUUCCAGCAAUGAUGACCAAACCGCAGAUGAGAGAACAAGAGAACAAGCCAGAAUUCAACACAGUUUCUUGUGAAUUGAGGGCAUUAGCAAAAAUGGUGGAAGACGAGCUCGGUGCAAUCAACGCGAAAAGCAACAAUGAUUCAGCAAUUGGAGGGGGUAAUACUAAGAUGUUUGAGAGAGGUAGGUUGUAGAAUGCUUAUUCAGAGAGGAGGAAUGAAAGGCUAAGGAAGAAACAGAGUGAAUCAGGGGAUGAUGAGCCCAAAACUGCUUAUAAUCAUAUGGGUGUUAAACUUGAUUCUACUUUGAAGAAAGAUUCCACCAAGAAGAAGGCUGAGACUUUGAAGAAGUCGAUGAUGGCUGCGGCCAAUACUUAUUCAUCAGUGGAUCGAAGCCAGCACCCAAGGUACGCAUUGAGGAGCACCACCAAGAAGCCACCGCUUCCGGUGGCACCGAUGAAUAUCGAUGAGAAGGGGACGGCGAGGAAGACUCCUAGUACAAGAGCUAGGAGGAAGUGAAGGAAAAGGAAUUUUAGAACUUUAGAGGAAUUGAUCUGUUAAUUUCUAAUGGGAUUCAUGGAAAAUUAUGAUACUAGAUGUUUUGGUUGUAUUAGUCCAUCUAUUGUGGACAUCACAAAUCUUCAGUGCUGAAUUGGAGAACCAAUGAUAUACAGUAGGUUAGUAUUUAUGUUGUGAGACACUUGCAAAAGUUGCAAGAAUGUGUUCAAUCACAUUACCCAAAGAAAAACAAAAAUGUUAUGAUUCUUUCUUAAUAAAUUUUUCAUCUAUGCAUUCAUUCUUAA